UUUUUAAAGCAGAAAAGGUCAUUUAUUUACAAAAACCAGGCACCAGAAAAGACAUCUGUGAAAUAAACAUCUGGAAAGAAAAAUCCAGAUGACCUGCAAACACUGGGAUAGGGAUACAUUGUAGGUUAAUUUACAUUAACAUUUUGCUGGAGUGUUCUUCCACAAAUACCAUGAAAACAAACUGUAUAUUUAUCUCAGCAAUUCAACACAGUGUUUUUAUCUGGCAAAUGUAUAUAUUUGUUUCAUAUUAUACAAAAUACACACAAUACCAAGAAAAAAAAGGACUGACAAGCAGAGGUCAGCAUUAGCUCAGUUGCUCAGGUUCCUGUUAACAUGAAAUGCUGCCACAAUAUCUUCCUUCCACAAGCAGGUACUCCCAGUAUCCAACACUGGGAUUAUAAUGGAGCAAAGUUAUAUAUAUUUUGUAUGUCAGACAUAUAUACAUCUAUACACAUCACCUUCAAAUGAACUGGUGGCAAACAGACAAAACCAGUUUGUCAAAGAGUCCAGUACAGUCAAAUGAAAAUGUGACAUGCAGAUGGUAAAACUGUGUAGAUGAUUGCUUAAUGUGACUGUUUUAAAUAAAUGUUUUUAUUUGAUUUUUGUUUUUUAUUCAUUUCUUAUUUAUUUGUUGGUUUAAAAUACAGCUUUUUAUACACUUUACAAGUCUGGCUCCUGUGUUCAGAUAUGUUCACCGGGUCUUUUCUAACAGUUGUGCCAACCAAUGACUCCAUUAUCUGCGUACAUUUUUCUCUUUUCAGUCUGGACAUUUUUGUUCCACACCAAGGAGUAUGUAUGGGAAUCAUAGAUGCUUGUCUAAACUCACAUCUACACAUUCCAAAAAAAAAAAAAAAAAAAAAUACUCCUACUCAGACUCUAUUACAAACACAAUAAAUAAACUCGCUGGCUUAAAAAAUAUAUAAAAAUAUAUUUUUUUACAUAAAAAAAACUAAAAUAUAUUCCACAAAUGCAUCAAAAGCCAAACACUGAAAACACAGAACCAUGUCUACAGUCUUUCAUAUGUGACGGACAGACAAGAUGUUAUUUUGGGAUAAUUAGACAUAUAUAAGAUUGAAAUAAUGUGACAGUAUGAUAAUGAGAAAGUGCAGAGAAGACAGCUUUUUUCACAUCUGUUUGUUUUUGCAGUGAUUUAUGAAAAUAAUAAAAGCAUUGUGGUAGGGAAUUUUCUAUUUCUACUUCCAUGAAACACAAACACAAAUGCAUGUGUGAAGACUGUAUCUAGAACAACUGACAAGAUCACAUUUUAGAGGUAAAGCUCGCACAGCUUGCUUUAAUUUGGAAAAAGGUAAAAGUUCAAUUUUCUUAUGGUGGCUUAGCUUAAUGUGCAUUGUGCAAUAAAAAAAACAUAAUAUUCAAAUUUUUUUAGGCACCUUUAGCUUUUCAGCUGAAGCUUUAUCACAUACUUAAUACAUACAAGGAAAAGAAAAAAAGCCACCAAACCUUUUCCCAAAUAUGCACACAUGAACAUAGGCAAUUAGUCCAUUAGCCAUAAAAACGUAACUUUUUUUCUUUUUUGCACAGUUGAACACUUUAACACACACACACAUAUAUAUAUGUUCACUGACUACAUGCAUAAUGUGUGUCUUUGUGUUUAAAAUUAUUCUAAAUAUGACCAAAACCAACUCGUUAUUGCUCGUGUUAAAUGGACUUUCUGCAGCGCACUUCUUCUGGCAAGACCUUGGUCACUUAUAACCAGCACAGCAGUAAAACUUUUUGCAUGAGGCGGACAGAAAACCAUCUUGAUGUGCGACUGCAGAGCAGUUACAUGAACAGGCAUGCUGCGGCUUGUUUGGUCUCACUCUUCUUCACAUUGGAAGCUUAUCCACCUUUGGGCGCAGAGGCCUUCACAGACCACCUUUACUUCACCUGGACUGUUACGAAGCUCUGUAAGGCAGAUCCUCGUAUCCAGAUUUAUCCAGAUUCUCAGCAGCUCAGAACUUCAAAUGGUGUGUUCUAUUUGGGCAAGGGCUUUAAAUUAUGGUGUUUUCAGGUGAAUUUAUGAUGAUGGAACUCUCGGGUGUCUGUAUGACAAAGAGAAAGAGAAAAGCAUUUAGUCUGUGCAUUACCAAGUCAAUUGUGUGCUUGACUGGCGAAACGCCUGGCUGAUCAUUUUUAAUGGAGGUUUCUGUGGCAGAGUGACUGUAGUCAGCUCUUAUCAGUCCCAAAGAUCUGACUGAGUAGUCCAUAUCUUUGGGUAAGCUUUCAAAUGGAGCAUCCUGGGCUGUGUAUUUGAACUGUGAUCUUUUCCCAAAACCUGAGUAGUUUUCUUGCUUAGACCUCCAUGUAUCAGACAAUACAAUAGAAAUAGAGGUAGUCAGUAAGUGAAAGUACAUUUAAAAUAAAAAGUCCAAAAGACAUGCGUCAAACAAAAUGACUGUGUUGAAAGUCAUUUUUCGCAUCGUGAUUUCUUUGGACUGUUAUAAAAGCAUACAUCUUUUAUAACUUUAUGAAAACAAGUAUUUGGUGCACAAGUUUGAAUUCAUUUUGGACUUUCUCUAAUCCACACCGUGUCAGAAUUAUACAUGCAUGCUCCAAUAUAUAGAUCAACCACCCCUAUUAAUAUUAAUGUAAAUGUCCUUUAGCCACAUAAACCAGGUGCUUUCCAUAGCCAAGAACCGUCUUAUGGCUGGAUAUUUGAACCCUCUUCUUGGCUGAACUGGUAGAGAGUCAUUCGUCUCAAAUUCUGUAGAAUUUUAGCUUUAAAUAUCACACAUACUUUACAUACUACAUACUGACAUUUUCAGUGGCCUUUCUUACCAUCAAAAUAAACCUGGAUCUAUAAUUUGGGACAGGUACAUUAAAAAAAAUGUCUGCGUGCUUGCUAGUUGAAAAUAUGGAAAAAAAAAGUGUCUGAUAUUUAAACAGACACUAGUAAAAAAAACUUGUAAAAGUCAGCUAGUGAUCAUCUCUGAUCAACAGCCUUAUUAAAUGCAGAGUAGUUUGGGCCCAGAAGCAGGAUUCAACAUGUCAUCACUUAAAGACCAGAUACAAUAGAAACAGAGGUGAGAGUCAAGUUACACACACAAAAAAAAAGCCAGUCAAAAUGAAUGCAAAGUCCAAGAGACAUGCAUCACACAAAAUAUCUGUGUUGUGUCAUGUGGCCUAAAUCUUUUUUCACAUCGUAGACAAAGAUGUUGUGGAAAUUUGGGGACUCCUGCAGAGACCCAUAUUUGAACAGACACAGUAAAAAAAAACUUGCAAAAGUCAGCUGGUGAUCAUUUCUGAAUGGUGUAUUACUGAAUUUCACAAUAAUGCAAAAUAAAACAGGUAGAUUAUUUUUCAACAUGAAAUUGUUAGUCACACAAAAAAAGAAAAUGCUACUUUUGUCUAACUUUCAUCGUUUUUUUAAUCAGCUCCUCACAAAGGAAAAUUAACCCAGUGAUCUGUGCGUUUCUUCCCAGCAGAGAGAAGUCCAGUAUCGAGCACAUAAGCAGGCCCAGUUUUGUUUUGUUUUUUAACCUACAGUUGGUGGAAAAAUAGAUUUUUGUAGUUACAGCUGGACCUCUGCUGACAAAAAAAAAAAAAAAAAAAAGAACACUUAGUGGGAACAAAUAUCAAAUCAGUCAAGGCUGUGUUUCCAUUCAGGUCUUGUCUGGUCUCAUCAGUCAAGGAAACCACAUGUGUGAAAUAUUAAGUCUUUUAAAGGCACCGUUUAUGAAAGUAGUAGUACAGUAAAAAUUACCAUUAAUAAAUUGGAACCCUCUUCAACAUCUGUGGGAAAUGGGUUUUGCUAAAAAGAGAAGAAAACAAUACUGUUAAAGCAAAAACACCCUGAACAGGGUUUAACACAAAGUUGACUCUCCACAAAUGUUAAGAAACAGAUAAAUCACUUCUGUUGUUCUUAUUAAUGAAAUGUAAUAUCUAAGUAAGACUAUCAAAUAACUGCAAGUUUAGUUGUAUCCUAAUCCUCUGUGCUUCAGUUACAGUGAGUUAGCAUCCACAUUCUACAAAAAUA
Oreochromis aureus is the source of this 3976-nucleotide long non-coding RNA. The record is from Ensembl. NCBI's taxonomy places the organism in Eukaryota, Metazoa, Chordata, Actinopteri, Cichliformes, Cichlidae.